AUUCUGCCCAUGCGGGGAAGGAUGAGAAGCUUCAACCAAGGCUCGACUUGAGCGCCAGCGAGAGAGCGUUGCCGCAGGCAACGACCCGAAGGGCGAAGCGCGCAGCGCUGAGUAAUCCUUCUCCCACCACCA
Molecule: small RNA, 132 nt
Filed under: Escherichia coli
Lineage: Bacteria; Pseudomonadati; Pseudomonadota; Gammaproteobacteria; Enterobacterales; Enterobacteriaceae
Description: RtT sRNA
Rfam family: RtT RNA
About the family: This family represents a bacterial cis-regulatory element known as RtT RNA. The exact function of RtT is unknown although it is thought that it may be involved in changing the cellular response in relation to amino acid starvation.
Source: RNAcentral